AGGCUGCUGGUGCUGUCCUUUAUCCCACACAGCCAGUUCCCCCUCCUCUCUGCUGUCUUCCGGACUGCAGCUUAGGUCCUGAUGGUUAUGAACAAAUGUGGACAGGCAACUAACAUUCCAAAAGAAAAAGUGAAGGUUUGAUACCCAUUCUGUGGUAAAAGCAGAUGCAGAGGGAAGGGGCCAUAUCUGAGAAGUGCAGCACUAGCUUUGCAUGUAGGAACUACUCCUGAAAGAUUGGGAAUCUUCAGAACAGCAUUCAGUGCAACAUGAGGAGCUGAACUGAAAAAAAAAAUUGCAUAUAUAUAAUCUUGUGUAAGUAUAGCUGUUCUUUGGAUCCCAG
Hemicordylus capensis (graceful crag lizard) is the source of this 340-nucleotide long non-coding RNA. RefSeq lists it as uncharacterized. The record is from RefSeq and is a predicted model, not a curated record. NCBI's taxonomy places the organism in Eukaryota, Metazoa, Chordata, Lepidosauria, Squamata, Cordylidae. The transcript has 3 exons.